RNAcentral lists this ribosomal RNA (253 nucleotides) under uncultured bacterium. Its description in RNAcentral is "partial 16S ribosomal RNA". It matches the Rfam family "Bacterial small subunit ribosomal RNA", at positions 524 to 776 of the family's 1533-position model. The record is from RNAcentral.
UACAGAGGUCCCAAGCGUUGUUCGGAUUCACUGGGCGUAAAGGGUGCGUAGGCGGUCGGGUAAGUCUGAUGUGAAAUCUCACAGCUUAACUGUGAAACUGCAUUGGAUACUAUCCGGCUAGAGGAAUGGAGGGGAGACUGGAAUACUUGGUGUAGCAGUGAAAUGCGUAGAUAUCAAGUGGAACACCAGCGGCGAAGGCGAGUCUCUGGACAUUUCCUGACGCUGAGGCACGAAAGCCAGGGGAGCAAACGGG